RNAcentral lists this long non-coding RNA (676 nucleotides) under Prunus persica (peach). RNAcentral describes it as "long non-coding RNA (PPER_LNC007199)". The record is from RNAcentral. Lineage: Eukaryota; Viridiplantae; Streptophyta; Magnoliopsida; Rosales; Rosaceae.
GGGUUGGGGUGGUGAUGGUUGCCACAUGCAGUUCUUGGGGAGGGUCCGAUAAAAAAAGAGAGAAUUUUUAUUAUCAUCAUUUUUUUUCACAUGUAGCAUUCAUUUCAGCUAAAAAAUGGUCCCACUUAUUUCAUAUAAUUGUUUUUAAUAAUAUUUUAACGGACUUAACGACAUGACAAUGUGAAUCACCAAAUUUUAGUUGACGAGAUAAUGUAGGUCAUUUUGAUUUCCAAGAGUAAUAUGAGAUUUGACCAUAAUUUUAAAAAGUAAUUAAGUUUUUAUUUUUAUUUUUUAAAAGAAUAAUGAAAACCCAACAGUUACCUCCAAUUUGACGACUUAUAUUUAGUAUGAGUAAAAUCUAAUGGUAAAAAAAAAUUUAGUGGUCAAAAUGUUAAUAUUAAUUAAUAUGAAUCAUAUCCAACUCCCAAAAUCAUUCCACACUCUAUAAUUACCUAUCCAUUGUUUAUAUUUAUGAAAUAAAGUUUUGUUGUCGAAAUUUGAAUCGGGACUAGGUAUGUCGUUUCCAUCCUCAUUUCCAUUAAUUUUUUUCCCUCCAUCCUCACUAUACAUGUAAAAUUGAAAUGGGGGAUUCCCCAUCACUUGCCUUCGUUGGGGAAACGAAUGCCCCACCCCGCUCCAUUAUAUAUAUUUUAAAUGAGAUAAAUUUGAGUUGGGG